This 447-nucleotide ribosomal RNA is filed under the name uncultured bacterium. RNAcentral's name for it is "bacterial SSU rRNA". It matches the Rfam family "Bacterial small subunit ribosomal RNA", at positions 355 to 825 of the family's 1533-position model. The record is from RNAcentral.
UGGGGAAUAUUGGACAAUGGGCGCAAGCCUGAUCCAGCCAUGCCGCGUGAGUGAAGAAGGCCUUAGGGUUGUAAAACUCUUUCGCCGGGGAAGAUAAUGACGGUACCCGGAGAAGAAGCUCCGGCUAACUUCGUGCCAGCAGCCGCGGUAAUACGAAGGGAGCUAGCGUUGUUCGGAAUUACUGGGCGUAAAGCGCACGUAGGCGGACUUGUCAGUCAGGGGUGAAAUCCCAAGGCUCAACCUUGGAACUGCCUCCGAUACAGCAAGCCUAGAGAUCGGGAGAGGUGAGUGGAAUUCCUGGUGUAGAGGUGAAAUUCGUAGAUAUUAGGAAGAACACCAGUGGCGAAGGCGGCUCACUGGCCCGAUACUGACGCUGAGGUGCGAAAGCGUGGGGAGCAAACAGGAUUAGAUACCCCCGUAGUCCCUGAGCGGGCUGGCAAGGCGCAU